Molecule: long non-coding RNA, 2658 nt
Organism: Oryctolagus cuniculus (rabbit)
Lineage: Eukaryota; Metazoa; Chordata; Mammalia; Lagomorpha; Leporidae
Source: RefSeq, a predicted model, not a curated record
CUUCCUUAAGGUUCUUUUCUCUGGGCACGGAGGCAUGUCCUCAGCAUUAGACUCUGUCAGUCACGGCAGCCUCGCCUCUCAGGACACUCCGCAUGCUUUGUUUCCGCACCGCAAAGGGUGUCUUUGACCGCGCAACGGCUGAGGUAACGUGCCGACACCGGCGCCAGCUGACGUAACGCGCCCGCUUUUACGACAGAGGACGUAGCGCUCCGGCGUCUGCGUCACCUGGCUUAACGCAGCACCGGAGGUAUGGUUUGCUUUUCCUGCUGAGGGUUGCGGGGCGUCGCAAGCCAACGCUUUGAAGCCAUCCAUAGCUCUUUUCAAACAGUCAGAACCAGACAAGAGCUUCGAGGGCAGCUUGUCAUCAAUCUGAAUCGGGGGAAUCCAGACCUACACCUGGACUCAGGAACAGAAAUUGAAUCAUUAUUUCAUGUAACGGACUGGUUUCACUAGUACUGUGACCAGCUGCCUUUCUCCCCAUCUCUCCAGACCAUGAAAUAUUCAGCACUUAAACAAGAAGACGCACCUGCCACAUCCUCUUUGCCCAGCAACAGAUCUGCGGAUUUCAUUGUCUUCCAUGAACUGUUCACCAGCAGUGACGCAGCUCUGAGUUUAGGAUAAUCACGUAUCAUGAAUACACAUCUGGAGGGACUCUGCGAAGGACGCCUCUUCUGGGGAAUGACGCACUCGUGGAGCCAAGUGCGCAGUCCCAGGUGCUCUGUGAGAAGCGGCUGUUUCACCCGCAGGGAUCUGUGAGCCAAGACACAGAGCAUUCGUGAUGGGCAGCUCACGGGCCCUCCCCAGAUUCCCUGCUGGCUGACAUGGAGGACAGCAGCUCUAACUGUUUGCUUUCACCUAGGUUGUCCCCAGGGACUUCUAAGCAGCAAACGCACCCUGUGGGUGAGUCUCACGAGGCUGCUGAGGGGCUCUCCCAGCCUUGCAGGGAGUGGGCUACAGCUGCCAUGCUCCCCCCACCCCCCCGCCGUCCCUACCACAGGAUGCCGUGAAAGGGUUGAGAUGAUCCAGUGUGUUUGUAAAACUCACAUCUCUUGAGAGCUCUUUCCUUUACAUUUUAAAAACAUUUCCCCUAAACAGAUGCCCAGAGACUUUGCAAACAAUAACAGAAGAGUGCGGAGCUUGGGUUUCAUGGAGGACGCGUUCCUCCCCACUGCUUUUGGCAAACGUUAGGGGAAAGCACCGAGAGUCAGCCCAGGUGUAGACGCCCCCUCCUCAGAUGGUCCCAGGCUCCAUUUUCAGGGACAAUUUAAAUGCCUGUGUACGAAAUCCACACAGAACAAUGUUUUGCAUUGUUUUUUCUGUUCUCCAAAACCAAGAACCUCACCUAAGCAAAUGUUCCUAAGAAAAGGCAGCAUGCACACCGAGGAGCAUUACUGUGGUACAUUGGAGAACAGACACUGCCCAACAGCACAACAGCAGACACAGAGAAAGCAGGAAGGAAUGCUAUUGGCAAACAACAGAUUUGCAGAUCAAUAGGACAGAAAAAAGACCUGAAUUUGACCCAUGUUAAUGUAGUCAGCUUAUUCUGACAAAUGAAGAGAUCAUCUUUUCAACUAAAGUGAUGGAACAGUGAACAGUCUUAUGUAAUAACUAAAUCUAGACACAAACUUUAUGACUUUCAUAAAAUAACUCAAGAUGGAACAUGGCAUAAAUGUGAGAUGUAUUAUUAUAAAACUUAGACAAAAAGGGAAAUAAAUCUAUGUAUUUCUGGGUUUGACAAUAAGUCUUUAGGCACAAUGUCAAAAAUACAAUUCAUGCAUGAAAAUCCUGGUAACUGCUCACUGAUAAAUGAUAAAUGGCACUCUGUGCAGACACUUCUGGAAAUCAAGACAAGCUGCAGACUGCGGGGAAUCUGCAAACCACACAUCUGAUCUUUGACUUGUCCGGAAAACACAGGAAAGCAUUUAAACCUCAACAUUUAGUACUCACAAUAAGUAGAAAAUAGCAUAAGAAAUGUGCAAACAAUUUGUAAAGGCACCUCACCAAAGAAGAGACACAGAGGCCAAUGAUCACGUGGAAAUAAACUCAUAAUUGUUUCCUGUCAAGGAAUCGCCAAUUAUAACAUCAAUGAGAUACCACUUCAUGCUAUCAAAAAGAGAAAAACGAAGUUAAAAAACCCAACACUAUCAAAUGCUGACGGACAGACAAAGCAUGGAUGUCUUUGGAACUCUGUCUGUCUUCCAGACCUCAAUGGAGCCCUAGCCUGUGCAUGGCCCAGUAGCUAUGCUCCCAGUUCACCCACUUUAUCUGAAGCCUUGUGUCCACACAAAAGCCUGAAUGCAAACAUGUACACCCAAGAUCUCCUUCCUCUUGUGAAUGGAUUAAGCAAACUGAGUAUAUCCACACAAUUGAAUAUUUUUUAUCUGUAGGAAGAAAUGAGGCGGCAAGCCACAGAUAGGGGUAAAAUGUAAAUGUGUACUUCUUAAGUGAGUGAAGCCAGUCUAGAAAGGCCGCCUGCUGUGUGACUUCAAACUGUAUGCCCUGCAAUGACCAGCGGUUACCAAGGUGCAGUGAGGAGGGACGGGUCCGGUCAGGGAGCCCAGGAAGUUGGUUCCAAGGUCACAGAACUGUAGGCAAAUAACUGAUCUUCUGUAUAUAAAGAGAAAUGAAAAUGAAUCUUGAUGUGAAUGGAAGGGGAGA